This 77-nucleotide transfer RNA is filed under the name Acidimicrobiaceae bacterium. Its description in RNAcentral is "tRNA-Val". It matches the Rfam family "tRNA". From Rfam's summary of the family: Transfer RNA (tRNA) molecules are approximately 80 nucleotides in length. Their secondary structure includes four short double-helical elements and three loops (D, anti-codon, and T loops). Lineage: Bacteria; Bacillati; Actinomycetota; Acidimicrobiia; Acidimicrobiales; Acidimicrobiaceae. The record is from RNAcentral.
GGGCGUUUAGCUCAGUUGGCUAGAGCAUCUCGUUUACACCGAGAGGGUCGGGGGUUCAAGUCCCUCAACGCCCACAA